Molecule: ribosomal RNA, 431 nt
Filed under: uncultured bacterium
Lineage: Bacteria
Description: partial 16S ribosomal RNA
Rfam family: Bacterial small subunit ribosomal RNA
Source: RNAcentral
AACGAACGCUGGCGGCAUGCCUAACACAUGCAAGUCGAACGAGACCUUCGGGUCUAGUGGCGCACGGGUGCGUAACGCGUGGGAACCUGCCCUUAGGUUCGGACUAACUCCACGAAAGGGGUGCUAAUACCGGAUAAUGUCUUCGGACCAAAGAUUUAUCGCCUUUGGAUGGGCCCGCGUUGGAUUAGCUAGUUGGUAGGGUAAAAGCCUACCAAGGCGACGAUCCAUAGCUGGUCUGAGAGGAUGAUCAGCCACACUGGGACUGAGACACGGCCCAGACUCCUACGGGAGGCAGCAGUGGGGAAUAUUGGACAAUGGGCGAAAGCCUGAGCCAGCAAUGCCGCGUGAGUGAUGAAGGCCUUAGGGUUAAAGCUCUUUUACCCGGGAUGAUAAUGACAGUACCGGGAGAAUAAGCUCCGGCUAACUCCGUG